CAGCAGCCGCGGGAAUACGUAGGGUGCAAGCGUUAAUCGGAAUUACUGGGCGUAAAGCGUGCGCAGGCGGUUAUAUAAGACAGAUGUGAAAUCCCCGGGCUCAACCUGGGAACUGCAUUUGUGACUGUAUAGCUAGAGUACGGCAGAGGGGGAUGGAAUUCCGCGUGUAGCAGUGAAAUGCGUAGAUAUGCGGAGGAACACCGAUGGCGAAGGCAAUCCCCUGGGCCUGUACUGACGCUGAGGUACGAAAGCAUGGGGAGCAAACAGGAUUAGAUACCCCCGUAGUCCCUGUCUCUUAUAC
RNAcentral lists this ribosomal RNA (301 nucleotides) under uncultured bacterium. RNAcentral describes it as "partial 16S ribosomal RNA". It matches the Rfam family "Bacterial small subunit ribosomal RNA", at positions 509 to 807 of the family's 1533-position model. The record is from RNAcentral.